UGGGGAAUAUUGCACAAUGGGCGCAAGCCUGAUGCAGCCAUGCCGCGUGUAUGAAGAAGGCCUUCGGGUUGUAAAGUACUUUCAGCGGGGAGGAAGGGAGUAAAGUUAAUACCUUUGCUCAUUGACGUUACCCGCAGAAGAAGCACCGGCUAACUCCGUGCCAGCAGCCGCGGUAAUACGGAGGGUGCAAGCGUUAAUCGGAAUUACUGGGCGUAAAGCGAACGCAGGCGGUUUGUUAAGUCAGAUGUGAAAUCCUCGGGCUCAACCUGGGAACUGCAUCGGAAACUGGCAAGCUUGAGUCUCGUAGAGGGGGGUAGAAUUCCAGGUGUAGCGGGGAAAUGCGUAGGGAUCUGGAGGAAUACCGGUGGGGAAGGCGGCCCCCUGGACGAAGACUGACGCUCGGGUGCGAAAGCGUGGGGAGCAAACAGG
This 429-nucleotide ribosomal RNA is filed under the name Chloroflexota bacterium. Its description in RNAcentral is "Chloroflexi bacterium partial 16S ribosomal RNA". It matches the Rfam family "Bacterial small subunit ribosomal RNA", at positions 355 to 776 of the family's 1533-position model. The record is from RNAcentral. Lineage: Bacteria; Bacillati; Chloroflexota.